Triticum aestivum (bread wheat) is the source of this 6169-nucleotide long non-coding RNA. RefSeq lists it as uncharacterized. The record is from RefSeq and is a predicted model, not a curated record. The transcript is spliced from 4 exons. Lineage: Eukaryota; Viridiplantae; Streptophyta; Magnoliopsida; Poales; Poaceae.
GUCGCCGCCGCCCUGACCCCCCUCCCACCAGCGCGCCGCCGCCCCGAUCCCCCUCCCACCAGCGCGCAGCCGCUGCCCCGACCCCCUCCCACCAGCGCGCCACAGUCACCCCGCCCCCCUCCCACCAGCGUGCCGCCACCGCCUCGACCCCUCUCGCACCAGCACGCUACUGCCGCCGCCCGGACCCCCUCCCACCAGUGCGCCGUUGCUACCUCCUCCCACGCGUUGGCCGCCUCCUUUCCCCACCGCCAUCCGGCUCGCUCCCCCCGUGUCGACCACUAGUCUCCCUUCAGCUCGGCGUCGGCUUCGGUCCAGCUGCACCUGCGACGACCACCUCCUCCAGCCUCCAUCCACCUCUUGCCAAGAUCCCCUUAAGCGAUCCAGCCCCCGUCAAUUCAGUGUGAUCUCUCCCGAAGGCAAGUUUGUGGAGCUGACAAUUCUAUAGGGAAUUACAUGCCAAGAAUCUGAAGGGAUGAAAUAACCUUGGUUAUUACUUGACAUUGGUUCUACUAUAACCGAAGCUGCACGUUGAAAAUUCGGGAUGCAUAAGCUAGCAUAGUUAUGCUUCUGGAGGUUCAACUUUUUCUUGACAAACACACAGCAGAUGUUCCUGUAUUAGUUCGGGUGUCGCCCCUCCGCCUCCUUCUGGUACCCUCAGCGACGCUCCCCGCCACCUUUCUGCAUUGUCCCAGUGGGUGGUCCGACACGGCCGCAUCCAGCGGUCCAACACCGUCAUCGGAGGCCGUUCAAUGUCCCAGCGCCUCCUUCCUAGUAAUCGUGAGGGACGCCCUGCUCGAAAUCUUUCCUCUCCAUCUCCCGACGGUGAACAUUUUCAUGCCCCGUGUUCGAACUGCCAUUUUAUUUUGAAUUGAACUAGGGCUGCUCUUGAUUCAGACCUGGGGGAAGAAGGAAGAACCUCUCUCUUAUAGGCAGUAAUAUUGCUCUCUCAUAUCAUCUCUCAUCUAGUAGGUAGUAAAUAUUUUGAUGAAUGUGUUACUCAAAAAACAAAAUGUUGUAUUGAUAUUCAGUAUCUUAGAGAAACGUUGUUGUGUUCUGGAUGACAAAUAACACAUGUGACAGUAAGUCCAGGUAUUUCUACAUGAGGAGUAAAAAAUUACUUCUACUGAGAGUUCACUUGAAUCCUUGAUAGCUACUGACCAUAGGAACUUAACCUAGAAAAAAUGUGCAAAAAGGAACCAUUUUGUAUUACCAUUAGUCGUCGAUUCUGUGUAAUGUUUUAUUUUUUUGCUACCCUAGCAUUGAAUUAGCACAUCAUUUUCAAAGAGUUGCACUCUCAUUAUUUAUUUCUUGUACUGUUAAUUUUAUUUUCAGAAGCGAACUUGUACAGGGUACAUGAGUUCCAAUAGUAGCUUCCGUUGCAUUUUUUUACAUAAUCAAGCAUUCUUGCUGUGUUGCCUUUCUUUCCAGAUAUAUAGAUUGCCAGUUUUGAAUCCGAUUCUCAAAUAGACAAUCAUAAUUCUAUUGCCAGUUCUGAAAUAAAGAAAUGUUUGCGUAAUAGUACCAUAAUAGCACCAAAACGAAUCCUCAUCCUUGGUAACUUACUGGCUUUGAUCUUCCAGGGAAGCAUUAUGAGAUCCUUGGUUUACUUAUAGGUAGGCCAUCAGCUCAAACCUAACACAGAAACUCCUUGCUUGGCAUUUGAGCUCUUGUUUUCUCAAAACUGAUACUAGUAAAUGUUAUUUCACUAUGUAUUCUUUCCUCAGUCCAUAGAGAAAUGUGGGAGUAGUUCGAUGUGUGUUGGAAAGAUAGUUUUGUUUUAUAUAUCAUAAGAAGAAAAGAUCGUGUUUCCUAAGGGGAAAAUCAAAAACAUUAUUAGCAACUCACUAUGUAUUCUACCAUCAAUUCUAUGUGUAUUAGGGAGAGGGUUCGGUGUAUCAUUGUUUUCACUUUCCCAGAAAAAAAUGUUCUAUUGCAGAUUAGUAACUUUGUAUUUACAUUUUUUUAAAACAAAGAACUAAUAAGUUCAUAUAAGUUCAAAAGACAAAGCGUUGAAAGUUCAAUCAAAAGCUCUCACCACUUUCUUUUUAUUUUUUAAUUAUUGUAGGACAUUUGAAACACUGAGCAAAAGGGAUUAGGAUAAAUUGCAGAAGUAGUUGUAGGAUGCUUAAGUUCUUUUGACUUUCCUUUCUCUCAUUCUUCAUGUACCGACAAGUUGUUUCAUUUUUCUGGUUUCAAAAAAGUAGAAGGGGAAGAUGUAGAGGGUGGACUACACUGGGCCUUUGCUGCUGGAAUCGUGGCGUAUUCAUGAGCUCAUGUAGAGCUACCGAUCCAGCAAGCCGCCCAUGUCGAUGAAAUGCAUGCUAACUAAUUCCCUUGAAAAAAAAGGGGAUGGGGCGCUGCGACGGUGAACUUUUUUUUUUUUGACCUGUCUGCGACGGUGAACUGAUACAGGGAGAUGCACACCAAACCCGUUGCCCCAUCCCUAGCCAUCGUGAGGUAUACCCUGCUCAGUGGCUCCUGAACCAGAAAAACAAACCGGCCCAGCCCGCACCCCCACCACUCUGUCCUCUCUCCCUCGUUCCUAAUCUCUCCAACCGCACACGCCACCCGCCGCCAGCCCCUACUCUCCGGCAACCCGCCUCCCCCCGCCACCCACCUCCGGCGACGCGCCACGCCCAGCACCUCCCACCACCGGCGACGCGCCGCGACCACCGCACCCUGCCUCCUCCCUCAUGCCGCACGCUGCCCCUGAACCCUACCUCCUCUCUCGCGCCACCCCCACUGCCCCCCGAGCGUGGCUGCCCCUCCACGGAUCCAAGCUCGUACGCCGCCGCCCCUCCCACCAUGCCAAGCUCGCACGCCACCGCCGCCGGCGCCCCCAACUGGCCGCCCCUCGUCAGUUCGUGUGUUCCAUCCGCACCAAAAAUCACCGUCCCUAGCUUCCCAUGGAUCCCUGCGCGCCGCCGCCCACCAGAAGGAAGCUCUCGUGCUCCCCGACGCCGCUUUCCUUAAGCAUUUGUGCGCUCCAAAAGUCAACGCGACACAGUUGCUUCCUCCGGCAACACCUCCUACCGGCGCCAGCGGUUCUGAGGUUACCUUGUUAGUAGUUCAACUUUGCUAAAUUCUGUAGUUAACCAUUGCUAAAAAUCAUCUUAGAAAUUAUCUCGUUUAAAUAGUUCACCUUUUCUAAAAACUGUAGUUCUCUGGUUAGAAAAACAAUAGUUAUCUCUGCAAAAAAGUAUGACAAUCUUUUGGUAAAGUCUCAAUCUCUUCUCAGUUUUAGUGUACGCUCGCUGGCGAUGCGUCCAGCAUGCUUGCGGUGAUAGCGCCAUAGUGGCCACCACUAAUGGCAUUGGCGGCCAGCAUGCUUGCACAAAAAAUAGCUAGCUAGGUGUUCAGGAUCUUCUAUUUUAUCCCCCGAAACAGGGUGCUCAGGACGUCUAUUUUGUUCUCUGAAACACUAGCUAGGUGUUCCCAGUUCAGUACGUGGACUAUCAUCAUCUCUAGUUGCUGCUUCCUGCCACCAACGAAUUGCGCAAGUUCAAAGAGUGUCGCAUGACAAAUUCAAAAGGUGUUGUAUGGCAAGUUCAGAAUUUUGGUUUCGUGAAAAGUGUGAUUUUGGACAAUAUUUUGUGCGAUUCAAUUGUUCAUCUUCAGAACUUGGAGAUGUUAAGUCUACUUUUUUCUAUGAUGAAGGUACACAUGAGAUCCAUCUGCAAUGGUUAUCGGCCCUAGUGCUUCAAAGAUGCUUAUUUUGUUUCCCCCGUGACGCAGCGAGGAUGAUAGUGACGACACUUACAAAAUUGUUUUCUGUGUUGCUAUGUUAUCAGUCCAAAGUGUGGUGAAGAUGUAGUCCUGGGUGUGUAGAUGAUGUGGUGUGUGUCUGGUUGUGUAUGUGCAUGAUGAUUGGUGGCUGUUGUGUGUGUGUGCAGGGUACCCCGCGACAGCGGGUAGGCGACAAGUGUACUGGUGACCAGCUACCCAGAAAAUGCUGGAACAGGGCUUCCAAAGUAAGCUCCUUGCUUCUUGCUUCUCUUUAAAUCUCUUGAGCUUUACAUGGUAUGUUCAAGACAAGUCCUCUAGUGGUUGUAUUGUAUGACGUUCGUUUAAAUGAUCGACUAUACUGACACCACAUACGUGGAAACUCAAAAUGAAAAUAAAAGGUGUUAAUGGAGAAAUAUAAGAACAAAAACAGGUAUGUGUAGCCAUCUAGCAACAUGGUGAUCAAACAAAAUCCCGACAGCCAACCUCCAUGGUGAUCAAUUCCAUGUGCUUAUGGGUAUGCUUGCUUAGCACAAAAUUCAUAAACUGUCAAUUUAUUUUGAAUUGAACUGAUGCUGCUCUUGAUUCAGACAUGAGGGAGAAGACGGAACUAGAAUGAUUCAGUUCAUCAUUGGCACCCCUGUAAACCAAACAAUGAAGAACACAACCAUUGUACUUUUGCUCUUGUUCUUUCUAUCUCCUGAAUUCCAUGCUUUCUGUGAUGAGCAUGCUUGGUACUAUAUAGAUACUGAUGUUGUAGUUCUAAUACAAUAUAUUAGAAGAAUUCAUUGACAAAAAAGGUGUCAGUUCAUAUAUGCAUGCAACAGCUAUUCUGAUACUACUUUAUUAACCAGAAAAACACAAAAGUUCAACUAUACUUAUGCAAAAUAGUUCAGUAUUUUAUUCUAUGACAGUCAAGAAAAACAGAAAAAAGAGGUUCAUCGUGUGAUGAGCAAUAGUCCCAACAACUGUGCUAGAGAUGCAAAAAAUUGAUAGCAUAGCCGAUGCCAUUUUUCAUCCAAUUUCUGAAGAAAACUAAAGUUGAUCAGAGUAACUAAAGAAUGAUCUGUUAGUUCUUGAGUAUGUGUAAUGCUGCCAUUUUACUGUGCAUUUGAUUCCAUCGUGAUGGAUGUAUUACAAAGAUAUGGCUGUAUUACUAUGUUGAAUAAAAAUACCAUUUUGCUGCAACAUCUUCUCAGCUCCUGUCAAGUUAUACAUGUAUGUGAGGAUCCUUCUAUGUAGUAAGUUCAUAGUCGAGAAGUCAGGGACUUCGUAAAUAACGUGAACACCAAAAAACCAUUAAAAAACCUAAACCAUAUGUUAGGGGAGUUCAAGAAGUUCAUGGCUAGCUAUCCGUGUUCUGUAUUCUUAUCAGUUCAUAAUCGAGAAGACAUGUAUUCUUAUCAGUUUGUUUAUCUAGCCCGUCGUGCUGUGUAUUCUGGUCAGUUCGUGUGUGUAUGUGUUGCCCUCGCAGUGUAUGAGAGGCCGCCCGUGAGGAAGUCGCCGAUCUGGUCGAGGCAUGCUGCUAUUCUCUAUAUCCGGCAGCACAAACAUUUAAAAGUUGAAGUUAAAAGAAGAUGGAGAUGUGUGUUUUGGAGAGGGAAGAACUUAUCUAGUGGAGUGCGUGUGUGUGCUGCUGCAUCCUCGUCCGGCAGCUCUAAUCCACACUCUUAGUACAACUUCUCUAUGAUCUCAUGUUCACAAAUCUUGUAGUACAUUUUUUAAUAAAAAUCUUCUAGUACUAUGUAAAGCAAGCGUGGCGAACACAUACUUCAGGUGUCGCGGUAGUACGCACUGUUGAUGGUGGCCUUCCUUUGUGGCGCUACAACUUUGCCACCUAGAGUAGUACUGCUACUACUUAUCAUGUUGCUAAAACCUAGUGAAAGUACAUGUAUUUGAUUAACGGUUCUGUAGGAAGAAAACUUUCACCAAUAUAUAAUCUCUAGGUUUAGUAAAGCAAUCUUUUUGUUUAGUAGCUGAUACUGCUCAAGUUUAUUUCUUGUUGUACAUAUGAUGUCCAAUUUCUUCUUUCAGUUCGGUUCAAUUUAUAAAUUUCAUUCAGUUCAAUUCUUAUUGUAGUUGGAGUUUAGUUUCUUUUCUGAGUUCAAUUCAGGCAUGUGUUUGAACUUGCAACCUCACUGCCUUAAGCUACGAUCUCAAAUAGAAGUAUACUAAAUGCAGGUACUAGGUGGUGGCAUUGCUUCACUUCUCUUGUUACGUUCUCUUCGCCCAAAUUCAGAGGAUCAAGAAAAUAAAAUAUCAUUCUUUUGACAUGCACUACUCAAAAGAAGGCAUUUCUGUUGAAAAAUUGUUUCGCUUGACAUGUACUUGCCAACAAUUAUGUAUAAUAAAUCAUGGCAUUGUAUGUAGAAAAAGAUAUAUUGUGUGUUCUGCUAUUGUAUUGAGUUGCUAUCUAUUCCUAAUUGUAUGAUGUUGUUAUUGCUCU